UGGGGAAUUUUGGACAAUGGGGGAAACCCUGAUCCAGCAACGCCGCGUGCGGGAAGAAGGCCUUCGGGUUGUAAACCGCUUUUGUUGGGGACGAAGCAACUUGGGUUAAUACCCCGAGCGAAUGACGGUACCCAAAGAAUAAGCACCGGCUAACUACGUGCCAGCAGCCGCGGUAAUACGUAGGGUGCGAGCGUUAAUCGGAAUUACUGGGCGUAAAGCGUGCGCAGGCUGUUGCGUAAGACAGAUGUGAAAUCCCCGGGCUUAACCUUGGAAUUGCAUUUGUGACUGCGCGGCUAGAGUGCGGCAGAGGGGGAUGGAAUUCCGCGUGUAGCAGUGAAAUGCGUAGAUAUGCGGAGGAACACCGAUGGCGAAGGCAAUCCCCUGGGCCUGCACUGACGCU
RNAcentral lists this ribosomal RNA (400 nucleotides) under uncultured bacterium. RNAcentral's name for it is "bacterial SSU rRNA". It matches the Rfam family "Bacterial small subunit ribosomal RNA", at positions 355 to 747 of the family's 1533-position model. The record is from RNAcentral.